RNAcentral lists this long non-coding RNA (1035 nucleotides) under Homo sapiens (human). RNAcentral describes it as "HSALNT0314920". Lineage: Eukaryota; Metazoa; Chordata; Mammalia; Primates; Hominidae. The record is from RNAcentral.
CUGUUACUUGAAAUCAAGUGGUUCUAACUUAUGGAAGAUGGUUUCAUCAGUGUCUAGACAUGCUAACCUUUAAAGUCUUAUUGUUUUUGGAGAGUUUCCACCCCUCCAGGUUCGAAGCCAUUACCAGAGUGCUGCUGAAGCCCCUUGCAGAUGUGAGGGGACCUCUCAUGCCAAGUCUUAUGGCUGCAAAGACAUCGCAUUCCACAGUGUGGUGUCAGAGAAGAGCAGUCCUGGGAGAGAACUCUCUCCAGUCACCUUGGGAAGAUUUCCCUCUCCUACAACAGCUAACAUCAGUGGAGCUGCCAGCAUAUUCACUCUAAGGACACAACAAAAGGCACUAUCUUUGAAGAGCGUGAACCCUUACCAGAUGGAAUCUGCUGACACCUUGAUCUUGGACUUCCCAGCCUCCAGAACUGUGAGAAUAAAUUUCUGUUGUUUAUACAUUACCCAACCUAAGAUAAUCUUCUUAUAGCAGCAGGAACCAUCUAAGACAUCCUCUAAGGUGAGAUGCAACUACAACUCUGAUGAUGUGUCUCCCCACCAUGAAAUGAUGCUGCACCACUGACUAGGCCAUCCUAGGGCAUGAUGCUUUGUGGUAGCUGCCUCUGCCAUCUAAAUGGGGACCACUACAGCCACAAGCUGAGCAGGCAUUCUGGUUCCUAGCUUUUCUCAUUGAGAAAUCAGGGCAAGCAGCCUCAUUUACCUAAGUUGCAGGUUCUCUUGAGCUGUGUAGGCCCAUUCUCAGCUCCCUGUGGUGUCUUCUUCAUAUGUACAAUAACGUGUAAACAUUUAGAUGUUUGUCUACAUAUUUGAAGAGGCAUGCUGAUGCUGAAAUAUUUUUCUCUUUUGAAGAGAGGGAAAGCAGCUUGACUGAAAACCAAUAGACUCCCCAACUUUAUAACUAACUUAUAAUCACUUCACCUUCUAGGGCUGGUUUCCUCUACCAGAAAAUGGGGAAAGACAAACUGGUUUCGCAACCAGUGAAACCAUUCAGCCAAUAGCGAGAAAUAAACAGACAAGCUCCUUUAAAAAUGA